Molecule: ribosomal RNA, 601 nt
Filed under: Janthinobacterium sp.
Lineage: Bacteria; Pseudomonadati; Pseudomonadota; Betaproteobacteria; Burkholderiales; Oxalobacteraceae
Description: bacterial SSU rRNA
Rfam family: Bacterial small subunit ribosomal RNA
Source: RNAcentral
UACCGCAUACGAUCUAAGGAUGAAAGUGGGGGAUCGCAAGACCUCAUGCUCGUGGAGCGGCCGAUAUCUGAUUAGCUAGUUGGUAGGGUAAAAGCCUACCAAGGCAUCGAUCAGUAGCUGGUCUGAGAGGACGACCAGCCACACUGGAACUGAGACACGGUCCAGACUCCUACGGGAGGCAGCAGUGGGGAAUUUUGGACAAUGGGCGAAAGCCUGAUCCAGCAAUGCCGCGUGAGUGAAGAAGGCCUUCGGGUUGUAAAGCUCUUUUGUCAGGGAAGAAACGGUGAGAGCUAAUAUCUCUUGCUAAUGACGGUACCUGAAGAAUAAGCACCGGCUAACUACGUGCCAGCAGCCGCGGUAAUACGUAGGGUGCAAGCGUUAAUCGGAAUUACUGGGCGUAAAGCGUGCGCAGGCGGUUUUGUAAGUCUGAUGUGAAAUCCCCGGGCUCAACCUGGGAAUUGCAUUGGAGACUGCAAGGCUAGAAUCUGGCAGAGGGGGGUAGAAUUCCACGUGUAGCAGUGAAAUGCGUAGAUAUGUGGAGGAACACCGAUGGCGAAGGCAGCCCCCUGGGUCAAGAUUGACGCUCAUGCACGAAAGCGUG